AAUGACCCAUUUAAACAUGUCUGCAGAGAUCAAGCUACCUGCUUUAAAUAGCUGCUGGUUUAGAGUGCCUUUAAAUUGCCCCUGGACUUCCAUUAGGUAUAACUGCAUCACCUGACUAAACAAGAAAUAGCAGGAGCCUAAAUGCCACGGUUAAAUGUCCCCAAUCCUCAUUGAAAACCCUCCCUGAGCCUUAUUAUGUUCCUAUCACCUCUUUAUUGGUCUGUUUUUGUUGUGUGAUUGGCUGUUUAAGAAAAAAAAACAAGACAACCCAGUUUAGCAGCUUUAGGUAAGUCAGGGAUAUUAUUGGUGAGUAGAAUUAUGGGUUUAAUUGUGAACCCAGAUGCUAAGUCUAUUCAUGAUCAUGAUACUUGACAUUACUAUAACAUAGGAGGUUCUUAAAAAUAACAGGGCUCUCAAGCAUUUAGUUUGAUCGCACAUUAUCUAGUAUCUCACAUCAUGAGAACAUUGUCUUAAAGGGAUAUUCCGGCGUAAAUUUAAGUUAUGGUCAAACUCACGGCAACACCAAGUUAGACACCCCCUUGAGAGAUGAACGUUGCUGACUGCUUGCUUUUUUCGCUAUACCAACUUCAGCAAAGACUGCACAAUAGCAAUACACAUGGGGGAGCCCCUAUGAGUUGAUCACAGAGUGCAGCAGAGUUUCGCAGUUCAAGGAAGAACAUUUAUGAUUAUUACUUCAUGGAAAUGCAAUCAGACUGAGACGCUGAGGCUUUAUGGAAAUGAUCUGCUGCACUCUGUGAUCGACUUGUCAGGGCUCCCCCCUCAAACAAGCGGCUGCUGGAGGAGAGUGGGUGAGUUGUGUUUGGUCUCUUUGCUAAAGAAAUGUUUGAUGGCUAGUACUAUGGCUGGGACCCUAUAUGUACUGUUGAUGAAGUUAGGUGCUGUUCUGAGCAUUAUUUGUGGCUAUAGAGUGGCGUUUUGGUUGAGCUUUGCGCAUCGAGGACGUAGACCGCUGUGUAUCGCUAUCGUGUGGUCGCUCCUUAAGUUGAUAUAACCAGAAAAGCAAGCAAGUCGGCAACAUUCAUCUCUUGAGGGGGUGUCUAACUCAGUGUUACGGCGUGUUUGACCAUAACUUAAAUUAAUGCUAGACUAUCCCUUUAAAUCAAUCACAGGGUUUGAAAUACAAAGAAGUUCAGCCCCUGAAAAGUUGGGGCUCCUUUACCAUCAGUGUUGCUGAGCAUGGAGAUGAGAGACUGCAGCACUACUAAAUUUGGUGAUUCUCAUUUUCCUUGACCAAUAUCCUGUAGAUUCUCAGCAGGGUUCAGGUCAACCAAGCUCAGUAAUAUAGUCAGCAAAUCAUUUAGUAUAAUUUUGCCACUGUGGGCAGGUGCGAGUUCCUGCUGGAAAAAGAAAUAAGCAUCAUCUCAAAGCUCAUCAGCAGAUGACUGAAUGAAAUGCUCCAAAUGUAUAAAUAUAUGUGGUAAUCCAUGUUGCUUGUGCACUUUUCCCUCCCACACAUUGUCCUCCCACUCAACUUUCCAUUAACAUGCCUCUGCAAACAGCCAGCCUUUGCAGUGAUGAACUGCUGAGGCUCAUCCUUCUUGUGGAGGGUGUCUUUUGAUUGUCUUCUUGACAAUUGUCAGGUCAGGAGUUUUACCCAUAAUUGUGGUUUCAUGUUCAAAAUUAGAUACAUGGCAUCAGUACUGUUUGAAGAGUGAUUUCCUCAAACUUAAAAAUGACACUUUGUUAUAUUUGGAGUAGGGCUGGGCGAUAUGGCCUCAAAUCAAUAUCACGAUAUAUUGAGCAGUUCACCUUGAUAACGAUAAAUUGAUGAUAACUACUCCACAAGCUGCUCACCCCCUCCCACAUUAACUUUGUCUACUUCAGCCGCUACAACUUUUAAACCGUCCCCUAUCUCCUCACCUGUCUUUCCCUCUUUGUUACGGACAACGUCUUUAAGGGACAUGAGACCAUAGCCUACCAACACACAUCCAAAAUCAACUUUUGUUUAUUGACAUUGAAAAUAUUGACAUGGGCAAAAUGAUAUUGUAAAUAUCUGUAAAUUUUCGGUUUAUCGCCUAGCCCUAAUUUGGAGAUAAUUUUGACAUUUUUCAAGCUGUAGGAUAGUGUAAUCAAUGUUUAAAGAGAAGACUGAAAAAAUGAGUGUUUAUUUUAUUGGUCCAGAUUAUAAAAAUUUUUAACUUUCUUUAAUGUUCAUUUUUUUCACGAUAUUCUAACUUGUUUAGAUGCACCUGUAUAUAUGACAUUACUGGACUGCUGUUCAUCAGUGUGUAGGGAACAUAAAAUGCAUUACACUGAAGAGGAGUUUAAAGAAAUCAGAGGGGGGUAGUACAAGGGAAGAAAUGUGAAACCCUGAAGAGGGGAAAUGUCUCCUUGGUUGAACUACAGAUUCUUCAGAAAUAGGAUCUGAAAUUUGACAGAGGCCACAAAACCAAAAAAAGAUGAUAAAGACCAGGACAGACUAAGCUUGCAUUGUUUGCUUGAAGUUUGUCAUAUUUUUAAACAAGCCAAAGAGGUAAGACUCAAGUCAAUUACAAAUACCUCAACACUGAAACCGACUGAAUGUCGCUAAUACUUCGUUUUUACACCCUGAGUACAAAAACGAAGUAUUAGUGAGUUGUGAAUAAUUACGAUAGCAGAGGGCAGACUUUCUGUUACAAUAGAGCAUGUUCUGUGUUUUCAGCUGCAGAUGACUCAAACUCUGUGAAGUACUUUUUAAAAAUAUUUGGACCCAUUUCUCGGCUUCAGGCUGCCACAUUUGGGAUUAACAGAUGCCACUCUUCGCUGGAAUGAGAUUGGCCUGCGGGUCUAUUCAGACAACACACAGGUGCAUAAUGGCAAAGUAAAAGUGAUGGAAGAAAAGUGAUGGUUUGUGAAGAGCCAUGUCCUCAUUAUAAUUGGGCAAUUUGUAGCUGUUGUAGGAUUAUUUUAUUUUUUUCUUAAACCAGUGUCCCUUGAUUAAAUUGUGCUCGGCGUGCUGUAAGUGCACUCGGGCUGUUUAUUUGUGUGUGCAACGGUUUUUCCUCUGCCGCUGAAGAGCCGUGGUAAUCCCUCCUUUAUUCUAAGAGGUUAUUCUCCGCUUGCUCCUGCCUCUGUCCGUUAAGAUUAACGGUUCCUGGAGAGACUUCCAUUUGACUCUCAUUAUUAGACUUGUGUGACCUUUCUGUGGUCUGCACCUCUGAGCACGUCUCCCCCUCCUCAGGUGAAGAUGGUGUGCGUCGGUGUCAAUCAUUCUUAAAACCAAAGACAGUCUAAGAUGGCAGUUCAAUGGCAGAUAAUCCUGAGUGAGAAGUUUGAAUAAUGUGUGUGUGAGUGUGUUUGAUUGUGUGUGUGUGUGUGUGUGCGCUGAGUUCGAACCAGCAU
Molecule: long non-coding RNA, 3342 nt
Filed under: Xyrichtys novacula (pearly razorfish)
Lineage: Eukaryota; Metazoa; Chordata; Actinopteri; Labriformes; Labridae
Source: RNAcentral